RNAcentral lists this small nucleolar RNA (144 nucleotides) under Ictidomys tridecemlineatus (thirteen-lined ground squirrel). RNAcentral's name for it is "Spermophilus tridecemlineatus (thirteen-lined ground squirrel) Small nucleolar RNA U3". The stretch from base 1 to 73 matches the Rfam family "Small nucleolar RNA U3". Rfam says of the family: Small nucleolar RNAs (snoRNAs) are involved in the processing and modification of rRNA in the nucleolus. There are two main classes of snoRNAs: the box C/D class, and the box H/ACA class. U3 snoRNA is a member of the box C/D class. Lineage: Eukaryota; Metazoa; Chordata; Mammalia; Rodentia; Sciuridae. The record is from Rfam by way of RNAcentral.
AAGACUAUACUUUCAGGGAUCAUUUCUGUAGUAUGUGACUAGAUUGUCUCUAACUAUACUGGCUAACUAUAGUGGCUUUAUUGUUAGCUUGGACGGCAUGGGAUGACCUUUGUUGAUUAUCAACUUAAAUAGGAAAAGAAAAGU